RNAcentral lists this ribosomal RNA (119 nucleotides) under Charadrius vociferus (killdeer). Lineage: Eukaryota; Metazoa; Chordata; Aves; Charadriiformes; Charadriidae. The record is from RNAcentral.
GCCUACGGCCAUACCACCCUGAGAACGCCCGAUCUCAUCUGAUCUCGGAAGCUAAGCAGGGUCGGGCCCAGUUAGUACUUGGAUGGGAGACCGCUUGGGAAUACCGGGUGCUGUAGGCU